This 3169-nucleotide ribosomal RNA is filed under the name Ancora cf. sagittata. RNAcentral's name for it is "eukaryotic LSU rRNA". It matches the Rfam family "Eukaryotic large subunit ribosomal RNA". The record is from RNAcentral. Lineage: Eukaryota; Apicomplexa; Conoidasida; Eugregarinorida; Lecudinidae.
ACAGCUGAGCUUUGCUAGUUUACCCGCCGAAUUUAAGCAUAUAAUUAAGCGGGGGAAAAGAAACUAACUAGGAUUCCCAUAGUAGCGGCGAGCGAACAGGGAAAAGCUCAAUCUGGUAACUCACUUCUGUGAGGUUGUAGAUUUUCGAAGUGAUACCUGCAUAUGUGAUCGGUAAGUCCUUUGGAAAAAGGCUGCCAUGGAGGGUGAAAGUCCCGUUCCGUGCAACAUAUUGCAUUCGGGUCACUUUCGUAGAGUCGUGCUCUUUGUGAUUGGAGUACAAAUUGGGUGGUAAAUUUCAUCCAAAGCUAAAUAUUUGUGAGAGAUCGAUAGAAUACAAGUACUGUGAGGGAAAUGUGAAAAGAACUUUGGCAAGAGAGUUAAAAGUCCCUGAAAUUGUUAUGGUGGAAGCAAGUAAAUGUCAGUUGACCUGUCGUAGCACAGUUUUGUCAUAAUGUUUUUCCUACUGCAUGAGCUCUGGUUUCAUUGGUUCCAUGCGUGGUAAUCAAGUCUGCAGUUCUUUUGUGGCGUUGAUCUCAUUAUGACUUCUGAUAUGACGUUGCCCCGUCUUGAAACACGGACCAAGGAGUCUAACAUGCGUGCGAGUAGGCGGAUGAAAUCCGUAUGCGAAAUGAGAGUGAUGAGACAAAUUUGGCCGGGCUAUUUUAUGGCUUGAGUUCUAGCACACAUGUUAGGACCCGAAAGGUGGUGAACUAUGCCUGAGUAGGCUGAAGCCAGAGGAAACUCUGGUGGAGGGUCGUUGCGAUACUGACGUGCAAAUCGUUCGCAAAACUUUGGUAUAGGGGCGAAAGACUAAUCGAACCACCUAGUAGCUGGUUCCCCUCGAAGUUUCCCUCAGGAUAGCUGGCGAUAAUAUUGAGUUUUGUCGGGUAAAGCGAAUGAUUAGAGGCAUUGGGGGCUUGUAGCCCUCGACCUAUUCUCAAACUUUGAAUUGGCAAAUAAUAGGUUAUUUAAUUAAACUUGUUAGUUUAUCAUAUCGCCAAGUGGGCCCGUUUUGGUAAGCAGAACUGGCGAUGAGGGAUGCUCCUAACGCUAAGUUAAGGUGCCGAAUGUCACGCGUAUGAGAUACCAAGAAAGGUGUUGGCUCAUUUUAACAGCAGGACGGUGGUCAUGGAAGUUGAAAUCCGCUAAGGAGUGUGUAACAACUCACCUGCCGAAUGAGGUAGCCCUGAAAAUUGAUGGCGCUGCAGCGUGAGACUGAUACUUAGCCGUUACUUGAAAUGGUUUAGUAACGUGUAGGGGGGUGUUUGGUUUGCGGGGAUGGCUAUGGUGUGAACCAUACCGGAGCUUAUCAUAGUACAGAUCUUGGUGGUAGUAGCAAUUAAUCAAGUGAGAUCCUUGAUAACUGACGUGGGGGAGGGUUCCAUGCGAACUGCGUUUGAUCAUGGGUUAAGCGGUCCUAAGGGUAUAGCAGUGCUUUUGAUUGGGAAUAAUUUGGUUCUUACCCGAAAGGGCGACCGGUCAAUAUUCCGGUCUGUUUACUUUGAAUUGGUGGUAACACAACAGUACCCGAAGACGUGAGGGGUUACGCCGCGUAGCGUUAUCUUUGCUUUCUAACGAUUCGUCUUCCCUGGAAGCAGCUAAGCUGGAGAAGGGGUCGCAUAAUCGGCAUAGCAUCCCAUUUGUGGGGUGUGCGGAGUGUAAUUCGUCAUCCGUGAAAAUUCGGGGUCUGGUUUCUAAGUAAACGCCGUACCUAAUCCGCAUCAGGUCUCCAGGGUUCACAGCCUCUGGUUUAUGGGUGAAAGUAGUUAAGGGAAGUCGGCAAAUUAGGUCCGUAACUUUGGGAAAAGGACUGGCUCUGAGAACUGAGUGUGGAGUACCAGCUGUGGGGUCUUAUUAAUAGCGAUGGGCGGCGGUAUGCGUACUCGUCGGACUUUGUUGGUGAUGUUUCUUCUGCACUGGCUGCUCUGCACAAUUAACGGUCGGCUCAGAACUGGAGCGGCCAAGGGGAAUCUGACUGUUUAAUCAAAACAAAGCAAUGCGAUGGUUAGAGAUAAUGUUGACGCAUUGUGAUUUCUGCUCAGUGCUCUGAAUGUCAACGUGGUGAGAUUCACGCAAGCGCGGGUAAACAGCGGGAGUAACUAUGACUCUCUUAAGGUAGCCAAAUGCCUCGUCAUCUAAUUAGUGACGCGCAUGAAUGGAUUAACGAGAUUCCUACUGUCCCUAACUACUAUCUAGCGAAACCACAGCCAAGGGAACGGGCUUGGCACAAUCAGCGGGGAAAGAAGACCCUGUUGAGCUUGACUCUAGUCCGACUUUGUGAAAUGACUCAGGGGGUGCAGCAUAGGUGGGAGCGUAAGCGUCAGUGAGAUACCACCACUCUUGCUGUUAUUUUACUUAUUCCGUGGGGUUGAUAUUGCAAUAGCUAAUUUUGGCCUGUAAGACGAUUCGUCGAUUUUACUCGGGAGACAUAGUCAGGUGGGGAGUUUGGCUGGGGCGGCACAUCUGUUAAAUCAUACCACAGGUGUCCUAAGACGAGCUCAAUGAGAACAGAAAUCUCAUGUUGACUAAAAGGGGAAAAGCUCGUUUGAUUUAGAUUUUCAGUGCGAAUACAAACUGCGAAAGCAUGGCCUAUCGAUCCUUUAGGCUGAGAAAUUUUCAGUUAGAGGUGUCAGAAAAGUUACCACAGGGAUAACUGGCUUGUGGCAGCCAAGCGUUCAUAGCGACGUUGCUUUUUGAUCCUUCGAUGUCGGCUCUUCCUAUCAUUGAGACGCAGAAGUCUCAAAGUGUCGGAUUGUUCACCCGCCAAUAGGGAACGUGAGCUGGGUUUAAACCGUCGUGAGACAGGUUAGUUUUACCCUACUGAUAAGCGAUAUUGUGACAGUAAUCCAACUCAGUACGAGAGGAACAGUUGGGUCAGGUAUUUGGUCUGCGGCUAGUUGACAAGCUAGUGCUGCUAAGCUAAGCCUGCCGGAGGAUGACUGAACGCCUCUAAGUCAGAAACCGUACUGGUAUCGGUGUUGUUCACCGCUCUUGUUAAGAAAUGCUGCAAGAUAAAUAUAUUGAAACAGGCUUUGCUGAAACAUUGAAAACUGAAUAAGAGCGAUACAUCCACUGUAGACGACUGUGGUGCAUCCAGGUAUUGUAAGUUAGAGAGUAGGCUUGUCUUACGAUCUACUGAGAUAUAUCCUGUGUUGCAGAGUUGUGUUUU